Non-coding RNA from Penaeus vannamei (Pacific white shrimp), 253 nucleotides. NCBI's taxonomy places the organism in Eukaryota, Metazoa, Arthropoda, Malacostraca, Decapoda, Penaeidae. The record is from RefSeq and is a predicted model, not a curated record.
ACAUCUUUGUUUUGCGAGGAAGGAUGCAGUCAGCUCGCAUCAUAUUUUGUUUGACCAGUGUGUGUUUAUGAAACCUAAGGAAACGCCAAGAAUUCAAAACCGUCAUACCGUCAUACCGUCGUAGCGUCAUACCGUCAUACUGUCAUACUGUCAUAUCGUCGUAUCUAACAUCAAGCAAGGCCAUAUGUUCGUCUCCAACACAUUCAGGUGCUGUUAAAUGUACCUUUAGAAGAAUAGACUCUUUUGAAAUGAA